This 449-nucleotide ribosomal RNA is filed under the name uncultured bacterium. Its description in RNAcentral is "partial 16S ribosomal RNA". It matches the Rfam family "Bacterial small subunit ribosomal RNA", at positions 29 to 523 of the family's 1533-position model. The record is from RNAcentral.
AGCGAACGCUGGCGGCAGGCUUAACACAUGCAAGUCGAACGGACCCUUCGGGGUUAGUGGCGGACGGGUGAGUAACACGUGGGAACGUGCCUUUAGGUUCGGAACAACACAGGGAAACUUGUGCUAAUACCGGAUGUGCCCUUCGGGGGAAAGAUUUAUCGCCUUUAGAGCGGCCCGCGUCUGAUUAGCUAGUUGGUGGGGUAAAGGCCUACCAAGGCGACGAUCAGUAGCUGGUCUGAGAGGAUGGCCAGCCACAUUGGGACUGAGACACGGCCCAAACUCCUACGGGAGGCAGCAGUGGGGAACCUUGCGCAAUGGGCGAAAGCCUGACGCAGCCAUGCCGCGUGGAUGAUGAAGGUCUUAGGAUUGUAAAAUCCUUUCACCGGGGACGAUAAUGACGGUACCCGGAGAAGAAGCCCCGGCUAACUUCGUGCCAGCCGCCGCAGUAA